UUAUGGUAGUAUUAGUAUAACUAAGUGGAGGAAGAAAAGGGAGAGAGAUUCUAGAGAGAGAAGGGUAGCUCAAGUUUUGCUUUUGGGUUUCUUGUUGGACUUGGCUUUUUGGCUUUGGUUUCAGCUUUUUCUCUGAAAGGGGGUUUUAAUGGAGGACUUUAAACAUAACUUGAGGGUGACACAGUAAUGCUAGAAACAUGGGGGAAAAAGGCAGUUGGUUUUAUGCCCUCAAAAGGGUUUUUACGUGUAACUCCAAGAAGAAGUCUGCCUAUGGAUCAGGGAAGAAAACUGCAAAGGAAAAGAAGAAGGGUCGUAGAAUACUGAGGCAUGGAGAGUUCAAAUCAUUCCUCUUCAGAGAACCAAGCAGUAUUGAGAAAAUACUGGGUGAGGUUGAUGAUCAGAACCUACUUGUUAGGCCUCCUACUUCUGAACAAUCUGGCAUUCCAUCUGCAUUCCCUGUGGCACCAACUUCUCCAAGAAUCAAUUCACCUAGAGAUGCGUCUCCUCAGAGUUCUUAUAGGGCUACAUCUCCUGGUGUCACUUCUCCGAGGGUCGCCUCUCCAAGGGUUGUCUCUCCUAAGGCAGCUUCUCCAAAGGUUACCUCUCCCAAGGAAGCUUCUCCGAAGGUUACAUCUCCCAGGGAAGCUUAUCCAAAGGCUACCUCUGCUAGUGCUCCUUCCCUAAAGGCUCUCUCUCCUAGGGAAGCUUCUCCAAAGGCGAACUCUGCUAGUGCUCCUUCCCAGAAGGCUACUGCUCCCAAGGAGGCUUCUCCAAGGGUCUCUUCCCCUAGAUCUACUUAUCCAGAGCCGAGUAGGAACCAUAAUGAGAUUAGCUAUGCUAACAGGCCAGAAGCAACUUUGACGCUCCAUCUUUCAGCAACCAAGAUACAGGCAGCCUACAGAAGUUACAUGGCAAGGAGGGGUUUCAAAUCUUUGAGUGGUUUAGCAAGACUUCAAGGAGUGGUCAGAAGCAGAAGUGUAAAGCGGCAGACAGUAAAUGCCAUGAAACAAAUGCAACUUCUAGGUAGGGUUCAAAUGCAAAUUCAGUCAAGGAGAAGUCAGAUGUUCCAGGCACUCCAUAGUCAAGCUUACAUGAAUGAUAAAGAAGUUGAGAGCACUCUAAGCAAAUGGACUCAGCUGACUGAAGCAGGUAACCAUGAUGAUUGGAAUAAUAGUAUGCUAACUAAAGAUGAGGUAGAAGCAAGGCGACGGGAAAAAGUGGAGGCAGUCAUCAAGAGGGAGAGAGCAAUGAGCUAUGCAUAUUCUCACCAGUUGUGGAGACGCAACCCCAAAUCAGCUACGGACAUCCGAACCAGUGGAAUUCCUUGGUGGUGGAACUGGUUGCACCACCAGCUACUUCCAGGAAAUGAUUCCGAGAGCCAAUCUGCUGUAAAAGAUGUCCAUUCAACACCAUCAAGGGCAAUAUCCGAACACAAGCCAAGUCCAUGGCGUCUAAGUCAAAACUUCAGACACCUCCAUUUGGAUUGUGACAGUCAUGAAUCAGUUACACCAAGGUCAACUAAGUCUGCAGUUCCAUUAAGGGGAAAACUAAUGCAUACUCCCAGAAGAACAUCAUCACCAAUGAGCAGCUCAAGCGUAUCAAAGUAUUCAAGACGCCGUGCUAGUGCUGCUGAUUCCCCUUUCAAUCAUUCCAUGAAGGAUGACGACAGCCUCACGAGCUGUCCUCCUUUUUCAGGUCCUAGUUACAUGUCACCAACCAUCUCAGCCAAAGCUAAAUUCAGAGGAAAAACCAUUCUUGAGGAGAGAAAUAUAGGUACUCCAUCAAACAGCUCGAGGAGGAGGCUGUCGUUUCCUUUGACUCCAAGUAGUACUGGAUCCGUCAAGUGGAACAAAGGAUCUGGAAAGGAUGCCGCUUCUUUAAAGGAACAUGAAUCUAUGGGAGAUCAUAUGAGUGUGCAUUCUACUGGUUCGACGCCUACUAUAGUUGGGAGGAAACCAUUUCAAAGAUUUGUGUAAUUUUGUUCCCUGUAUGUUGUCCCAUCUGUAUUUAGCUCUGAAGUUACCUAUGUAUGUGUAUUUAUUGGUGUAUUUUGUUAACAGAACACUAAUGUAAAAUAAUUAAGUGUGAACAUUCUCUUGUUUGUUAGACUUAUCUAGUGAAGGAAGA
This 2127-nucleotide unclassified non-coding RNA is filed under the name Hevea brasiliensis (rubber tree). Lineage: Eukaryota; Viridiplantae; Streptophyta; Magnoliopsida; Malpighiales; Euphorbiaceae. The record is from RNAcentral.